CAAUGGAAUAAUUUUUUUCAAGGAGUAAAUGGACAUUUUACAUGGUGCGCUGGAUCUAUUUCGUCUGUGGGACCCGCUUUUUUGACAAAUAUGACGUCGUUUUUCUAUGGCAGACAAAAAGUGCCGCUGCUUCUUUCAAGGCCCUAGCAAGCGUCCACCUUGUGGCCCAAAUGGCUUCCUCUUAUUAUUAUCAUCACUAUUAUUAUUAGUACAAAAAAGGCAGAAGAAAAUAUACAAAGACCCUAAUCUCAGUCAGUGGAGGUGUGGAAUAGUCUCCAUUGCUUGAAGGCCUAGCGUCUAUUAUCUCCGAUCCCAUUAUUCCGGCAAUCUCAGUUACAGACCAUUCAAUAAGUUUCUAUAAUCACCUGAAUUCAUAGACUAAUCUCUAACUUAAAUCGUGGCGUGGUUACUUCUUUUAUAUAUUUGCUUAAAAUAAAUAGUUUGAUUGAAAUGGCAAAGUCAAAGAACCACACUGCUCAUAGCCAGUCUUACAAGGCUCACAAAAACGGGAUCAAGAAACCUAAGAGGCAGAUGCACACCUCCAGCAAAGGGGAUUUUGAUAAAGUUAGGAUCAGAUGCUUAGCUUUCGUAUGGAGUUUAUAAUUAUGGUGGAAGUGUCCUGGUCUGGAGUUCAAAAAGUGCUGCUGAUAUUCUCUUGGAUUAGCUUGCUUCGGCCUUGUGGAAGCUUGAUUGUGUGGAAUGUCAUUGGCAAGAGUCUUCGUAUUGGAAGGUCCAAUUGUACGAGUAGGAAUAUUAUAUAGUAAGAACCUGUUCUUUACAUGGGUUGUAAUGUUUGUUAUCAUUUCCUCAAGACGACACUUUCUUUGAAAAGGUACAA
This is a long non-coding RNA of Ricinus communis (castor bean), 838 nucleotides long. RefSeq lists it as uncharacterized. Lineage: Eukaryota; Viridiplantae; Streptophyta; Magnoliopsida; Malpighiales; Euphorbiaceae. The record is from RefSeq and is a predicted model, not a curated record. The transcript is spliced from 2 exons.